UUUAAUGACUCUCGGCAACGGAUAUCUCGGCUCUCGCAUCGAUGAAGAACGUAGCGAAAUGCGAUACUUGGUGUGAAUUGCAGAAUCCCGUGAACCAUCGAGUUUUUGAACGCAAGUUGCGCCCGAAGCCAUUUGGUCAAGGGCACGUCUGCCUGGGCGUCACGU
Molecule: ribosomal RNA, 165 nt
Filed under: Rodgersia pinnata
Lineage: Eukaryota; Viridiplantae; Streptophyta; Magnoliopsida; Saxifragales; Saxifragaceae
Also listed under: 2 other names
Description: 5.8S ribosomal RNA
Rfam family: 5.8S ribosomal RNA
About the family: 5.8S ribosomal RNA (5.8S rRNA) is a component of the large subunit of the eukaryotic ribosome. It is transcribed by RNA polymerase I as part of the 45S precursor that also contains 18S and 28S rRNA.
Source: RNAcentral